CCUACGGGAGGCAGCAGUGGGGAAUCUUGCACAAUGGAGGAAACUCUGAUGCAGCGAUGCCGCGUGAGUGAGGAAGGCCUUUGGGUUGUAAAGCUCUUUUGUAGGGGAAGAUAAUGACUGUACCCUAAGAAUAAGGUCCGGCUAACUUCGUGCCAGCAGCCGCGGUAAUACGAAGGGACCUAGCGUAGUUCGGAAUUACUGGGCGUAAAGCGCGCGUAGGCCGUUGAGUUAGUUAAUUGUGAAAUCCCAAAGCUUAACUUUGGAACUGCAAUUAAAACUGCUCGACUAGAGUUUGAUAGAGGAAAGCGGAAUACAUAGUGUAGAGGUGAAAUUCGUAGAUAUUAUGUAGAACACCAGUUGCGAAGGCGGCUUUCUGGAUCAACACUGACGCUGAGGCGCGAAAGUAUGGGUAGCAAAGAGGAUUAGAUACCCUCGUAGUCCAUACCAUAAACGAUGAUUGCUAGAUGUUGGAAAUUUAUUUUCAGUAUCGCAGCUAACGCAUUAAGCAAUCCGCCUGGGGAUACGACCGCAAGGUUAAAACUCAAAUGAAUUGACCGGNNGAGAGNGCGAGACGACGACGAGGAGAGG
RNAcentral lists this ribosomal RNA (588 nucleotides) under uncultured bacterium. RNAcentral's name for it is "bacterial SSU rRNA". It matches the Rfam family "Bacterial small subunit ribosomal RNA", at positions 338 to 946 of the family's 1533-position model. The record is from RNAcentral.